Gossypium raimondii (Peruvian cotton) is the source of this 152-nucleotide non-coding RNA. Lineage: Eukaryota; Viridiplantae; Streptophyta; Magnoliopsida; Malvales; Malvaceae. The record is from Rfam.
CGUUAAAAAUUUUAUCCAUUUUUACUGUUAAAAAAUGGUGUAACUAAUGGAAUAACAAGACACUGGCAUGUGACGCACCACAUGUAUGGUGUAUCUUAUGUUGACAUACAAUGACAAUUUUUUAACAGUAUAAAUGGAUGAAAUUUUUAGGA